This 427-nucleotide ribosomal RNA is filed under the name uncultured Ochrobactrum sp. RNAcentral describes it as "bacterial SSU rRNA". It matches the Rfam family "Bacterial small subunit ribosomal RNA", at positions 8 to 483 of the family's 1533-position model. The record is from RNAcentral. Lineage: Bacteria; Pseudomonadati; Pseudomonadota; Alphaproteobacteria; Hyphomicrobiales; Brucellaceae.
AGAGUUUGAUCCUGGCUCAGAACGAACGCUGGCGGCAGGCUUAACACAUGCAAGUCGAGCGCCCCGCAAGGGGAGCGGCAGACGGGUGAGUAACGCGUGGGAAUCUACCUUUUGCUACGGAAUAACUCAGGGAAACUUGUGCUAAUACCGUAUGUGCCCUUCGGGGGAAAGAUUUAUCGGCAAAGGAUGAGCCCGCGUUGGAUUAGCUAGUUGGUGAGGUAAAGGCUCACCAAGGCGACGAUCCAUAGCUGGUCUGAGAGGAUGAUCAGCCACACUGGGACUGAGACACGGCCCAGACUCCUACGGGAGGCAGCAGUGGGGAAUAUUGGACAAUGGGCGCAAGCCUGAUCCAGCCAUGCCGCGUGAGUGAUGAAGGCCCUAGGGUUGUAAAGCUCUUUCAACGGUGAAGAUAAUGACGGUAACCGUA